Molecule: ribosomal RNA, 496 nt
Filed under: uncultured bacterium
Lineage: Bacteria
Description: partial 16S ribosomal RNA
Rfam family: Bacterial small subunit ribosomal RNA
Source: RNAcentral
GAUGAACGCUGGCGGCGUGCCUAAUACAUGCAAGUCGAGCGAACAGACGAGGAGCUUGCUCCUCUGACGUUAGCGGCGGACGGGUGAGUAACACGUGGAUAACCUACCUAGAAGACUGGGAUAACUUCGGGAAACCGGAGCUAAUACCGGAUAAUAUAGUGAACCGCAUGGUUCAAUAGUGAAAGACGGUUUUGCUGUCACUUAUAGAUGGAUCCGCGCCGCAUUAGCUAGUUGGUAAGGUAACGGCUUACCAAGGCAACGAUGCGUAGCCGACCUGAGAGGGUGAUCGGCCACACUGGAACUGAGACACGGUCCAGACUCCUACGGGAGGCAGCAGUAGGGAAUCUUCAGCAAUGGGCGAAAGCCUGACGGAGCAACGCCGCGUGAGUGAUGAAGGUCUUCGGAUCGUAAAACUCUGUUAUUAGGGAAGAACAAAUGUGUAAGUAACUAUGCACGUCUUGACGGUACCUAAUCAGAAAGCCACGGCGAACUACGU